CAAAACUUUCAACAACGGAUCUCUUGGUUCUG
RNAcentral lists this ribosomal RNA (32 nucleotides) under uncultured fungus. Its description in RNAcentral is "partial 5.8S ribosomal RNA". The record is from RNAcentral. Lineage: Eukaryota; Fungi.